Molecule: ribosomal RNA, 465 nt
Filed under: uncultured bacterium
Lineage: Bacteria
Description: partial 16S ribosomal RNA
Rfam family: Bacterial small subunit ribosomal RNA
Source: RNAcentral
GACGAACGCUGGCGGCGUGCUUAACACAUGCAAGUCGAACGGAAAGGCCCUGCUUGCAGGGUACUCGAGUGGCGAACGGGUGAGUAACACGUGGGUGAUCUGCCCUGCACUUCGGGAUAAGCCUGGGAAACUGGGUCGAAUACCGGAUAGGAGCCAUCUUUAGUGUGAUGGUUGGAAAGUUUUUUCGGUGUAGGAUGAGCUCGCGGCCUAUCAGCUUGUUGGUGGGGUAAUGGCCUACCAAGGCGGCGACGGGUAGCCGGCCUGAGAGGGUGGACGGCCACCUUGGGACUGGGGUACGGCCCAGCCUCCUACGGGAGGCAGCAGUGGGGAAUAUUGCACAAUGGGCGCCAGCCUGAUGCAGCGACGCCGCGUGGGGGAUGACGGCCUUCGGGUUGUAAACUCCUUUCGCUAGGGACGAAGCUUUUUGUGACGGUACCUAGAUAAGAAGCACCGGCUAACUACGUG